This is a long non-coding RNA of Sinocyclocheilus rhinocerous, 412 nucleotides long. RefSeq lists it as uncharacterized. NCBI's taxonomy places the organism in Eukaryota, Metazoa, Chordata, Actinopteri, Cypriniformes, Cyprinidae. The record is from RefSeq and is a predicted model, not a curated record. The transcript is spliced from 2 exons.
ACUGACCCACCGCUGCUCAUACAGGAUGAUUUUACUGCAGACGAGGGAUGCCUUCAGCCUCUGGAUCCCGGUCCGUGUCGAGAGUAUGUUGUUAAAUGGUAUUUUGAUCCAAAAGCCAAUUCAUGUGCUCAGUUCUGGUUUGGAGGUUGCCAAGGCAACAAAAACAAGUUUGACACUCAACAGGCCUGCAGAAAAUCCUGUGUGAAAAUGUAAGUCUUAUCAUUAGAGCACUGAAGAGACAUAAAGCUAAAAGGGCUCUUUAUUAUUGAAAUAUACAUACGCUUUUAAUAUUCAACAUUUUAAAUAAUAAACAUUUUUACUGUGAACAUUUUAAAAAACUACACUUGAACAAUCUACAAAUGCAUUAUUUGCAUAUAUAGUGGCCACAAGAAGUAUUUACACAAGGUUAAGU